AAAAAAGAGCUCCUUUCCUUCUGGGAACUUUAAGCUCAUCAAUUCUAAUGGAUCAUAACUUCUAAUCAAUACAAAUCCUCCCAUGAUUGCUGGCGCUAUAUUAUCAGCAUGAUAGCCUGAAACUUUGGCUUCAGAUUCCAGUCCAGCAAGAACCAAAUCCUUAACUUCUAAUUUCCCACCAAAAAUCUCGUUAACAGCCACAGCAGCUGCCGCAGCACUUGCGGCGCUCGAUCCAAGGCCGCUCCCCAAGGGAAGGCCUUUUUCAAGGGUUAGCGAAAGACCCACCGACCGUAUGUUGAGCAUUUUCAUGGUAGCAAUAGCGGCGAUUCCGGCGCAGUUCCAGAGAGGAUUCUUGGAGAGCUUUAUACUAGCGUGGGUUCCACAAAUGUCAGAGAUGGAGAUCUCGCCGGGAUGCACAGAGGGGUCGAUGCG
Molecule: unclassified non-coding RNA, 432 nt
Filed under: Hevea brasiliensis (rubber tree)
Lineage: Eukaryota; Viridiplantae; Streptophyta; Magnoliopsida; Malpighiales; Euphorbiaceae
Source: RNAcentral